Molecule: long non-coding RNA, 4585 nt
Organism: Vicia villosa (hairy vetch)
Lineage: Eukaryota; Viridiplantae; Streptophyta; Magnoliopsida; Fabales; Fabaceae
Exons: 2
Source: RefSeq, a predicted model, not a curated record
UUCCCUCUAUUUCUUUUAAUUAUAUACAUAUGUUACUUUUAUAUGUAUAAAGAACUUAUGAAUUAUAUUUCAAAAUUAUUCUUUAUUAAUAAUUUGAAAGUUUAAUUUAAAUAAAGUUAAAGAAAAAAAGUAAUAAAUAGUUAAAUUAUUAUUUGUAUUAGCUUAUACAAGAUACUAUAGAUAAGUCAGUAAAAAUAAACUACAAACUAGUGAAAAUAUAAUGUUACUCAACCCAACUAGACUUUUUUUUAAAUAUAAACUUAUAAAUUAUAGAGCAAAUAGGAGAUGCACGAUGUAAAAUAAAUUUACACCAUUAUUCAAUGAACGACGUGUAUUCCACUAAAUCAUAUUGAUAUUUUAAAAUAAUUUGGAUAAUUUACUAGAUUGGUGAUUUUUUAUUAAACAUAUAGUGCAUGUCCAUUAAACUCUAACUUAAAUUAUAAGUAAUAAAGUAUAAGUUCAAAGUGUGGAAUUGUAAAAAAAAAAAAACAUUAGUUACAAAUUAUCAUCCCUUAUUCAAAUAUUUUUUUAAGCAAGAUAUAUUGAUGGGAGAACAAAAGUUCUCAAACUCACUUAGAAAAGAACGAGGUAAAAUUCGACAAAAGAAAUAUUACACUCCAAUUGAAACCUAAGAUAAAUAAAACAAAAGAAUUUUGCUAAAUUCGUAGAAGUUACAAUUCGAAUGGGUAAUUUUCCCUAUGAAAGACCAUCUCCAAACUAAGGUAUUAUGUUCCGCACCACAUCCAACAUGUUCCAAACAUCUUCCCUAAAAAUAAUACAAUUCCUAAGAAUCCAUAAGCUCCAACAAGUUGUCAACCAAACACAACCUUUUUUGUCUCUUUUCACUUUUUUAAGCUUGCAAAAUGAACACCCCCUUAAAAAACUCUCCUUGAAACUAUCCGCCUCAAAAUCAACAAAAUCAAUCCAAGCGGCGACCUCCUUCCAAACCAAACGAGAUAUACAAGACAACAAUAAAGAAUGGACAAAAGAUUCGUCAACACGACUACAAAGAGCACAAUAAAGAUUGCUAGAAAGAGAGAAUAAACCUCUAACAACCAAUAAAUCUCUAGUUGGUAACCUGUUGAUGAAACACCUCCAUCCAAAGGCUUUAAUUUUUUGAGGCACUUCCAUCUUCCAUACCAAAGCAAAUGCCUUACAGACUGAACGGUAUUAGCUCUCCACUCGAUUGUAUCUCGGUCACCCAUGGUAGGAGCAGCGUGCCGCAUCAGAUGCCGAAGCCGUAGAAUAUCGCCAGCAACAUCUGGGCAAUCGCGGACAGGGAUGCCGAAGUCUCCCCAAAACCACUCACCGCGAUUCAAACCUCUCAUUCCUCCAACUGAAAUUUCCUGCGGGUUUGAAAUAGAAAACAAAGAAGGGGAAAAAAUCUUUAAGGCAACCAAAUUUAAACCAUACAGAGUGUCAAAAAGAAGUAUAGUGACCGUUUCCAAAAAUGAAACUACAAUUCAUAAUGAAAGCAUCCUCCGGAAAAUUAUUCGCCAAAGAUAAAAUAUUCAUCCACCAAGACGAUUUGGGAUUCCUACUUUUAGGAUUUCCCCCUCCCAGUGCCGGCCUUUAGCAGGAGCAGCAAGGGCUGCAGCGCUGGGCCCCAAAAUUUUGGGGGCCCAUUUUUUUUUUUUAUUAAAACAAUACCUUUUACACCUGUUUUUUAUAAAAUAGGUAUUAAAUAAUUAUUCUUUUGAAAACAUUUUACACCGAAUUUUUAAAGGCAGGUGUAAAAUAAUUUUUAUUUUCACAAUUUAGGUAUAAAUUUUUAUUUUUUUGGGCCUUUUUUAAAAUUUAUAACAGGGCCCCCGGCUUGUUUGGGUCGGCCCUGCCCCCUCCACUCACCACUUGCAAAUUGAUAUCGUCCUAACGAGUCUUCAAAACAUUGCACCACAAAGCUUUCUCUUCUUUUAAUAUCCUCACCUCCAUUUAUGAAGAAGAGACAUAUUAAAAUCUCAUUUUCUUCUAAUCGCGAGACCAACUUUUACAAUGGGAAGGCAAACUUUCUUCAAACUCGCCCAAUGGAUCUUUUUGCAACCCUCUGGACCACCCCAAAGGAAAUUACUUUGGAUACUUGUAAUCUCCUUAACAAUUUUCACCGACGCUUUAUAAAAAGAGAGAGUGAAAAUGCCAAGACUACUCAAAAUUGAUUUAAGGAGUGUAAUCCUCAUACCUAAACUAAGGACACGCCCCUUCCAACUCGAUAACCUCUUCUUCAUCUUGGAUAUAAGUCCCUUCCAUGAAGAAAUCCUCCUAGGACUGGACACAAUAGGAAUUCCAAGAAAAAUAAACUCAUUAUCUUCCAACCUACAAGAAAGGAAAAAGGAAGCAACCUCCAAAAAGUUAGAAUUAAUGUUGAUGCCAAUCAACUUGCUUUUGUGGUGAUUAAUGCCUAAACUCGAGACAAACUCAAAACCCCUCAAGAUCGAUUUAAUUAACCGAAUAUAAUUCUAAUUACCAUCUCCCACCAAAAAAUUUUCAUCUGAGAAUUGAAGAACGUCGAUGAAAUAUUUAUCAUUAAUGUCAUAACUCGCGAAAUCUCUAUUCUCCACGGCCUUGCUAACUAACCCCUUUAAGCCUUCCACCACUAAUACGUUAUUCUUAUUAUGAUUUUAAAAAUUCUUUAGUAUUCGAUCAAGAUUAAUGACUAUAAAUGUUUUUUUUAUAAAACUAUAAAUGUUUUUUGUGUUUAGAAUAAUAAUGAAGAUUUAUUUUUUAAUUGGUGUCAUUUUUUAUAUGUUAUAUUCAACCAAUUGAUAAAGUUCAAGUGAGUGAUAAACUUCAUUAUGGGUGAAUUAUUUAAGAGUAUCCGAGUUUUAAUCCAAAUUGAAAGUUUCUUUGAAAAAAUUUAACUUAUUGUCAUGAAAUUGAGAUGUUGAGUCACAUCAAGAUUUUUUCUUUCUAAAAUUCUCGAUAAUAUAUCAACCACACCAAAAAUAAUAAUGUGUAGAAAAAAACAAUGUCAGUCGAAAUUAAUAGGCUAAACAAAAAAUAACAUGUCAAACAUUAUAAGCAAAUCCAUAAUAAGUAAAAGAGAGAUUAAAGUUGAGGCAAAAAAAGAUUUUUUUUAUCUAAUUUGAUCAAACUGAUCUACUCUAGGGAGAGAUAAGCUCUCUGACUCAAUAUACUUCUAAAAUUUGUUAAAAAUAUUAGGAAUGAAUUAUAAGAAAAUAGUCUCUCAAGUUCUCAAAAUCAAAUCAUAUAUUUUAUAUCUAAGUGUUUCUCAAUCUCUUCUAGUCUCUAUAUUGAAUCACAUAAAUUCAAGAUGAUUAAAAGUGGUUUAAAACCCCCUUAGAUACCUUAAAAUGUUUCUCCAAUUUAUAGAACUGCAAUGAUUUUCUACCCUUGCCUCUCUAGCUAGAAUGAUCACAUCUCUCAUUUGUCUUUUUCUCUUAACAAACAAAAGUGGUAAAAAUACAUAUUUAUAACUGUUGAAACCUAAAAUACGUAUUGAACCAUGCAAAUAUGCCAGUAUAGAACAUGAUGAUAAUCAACUCACACAUCACCAACUAACUUGAAAAUCUAUUAGAAAGUUGUUAGUUAGUUGUUAGAAUUAGUUACACACUAAAAGUUCCAAUAUGGUGUGAUAGGAUCUAGCUUUCUUAUGGUGCAAUUCACCGUGAUUGUAUAUAAGAACCUCGCUUGUAAUUCUUCUUCAAUGAGAAUCCGCCAUUAUCAUGUUCAUUUUGAUUUCUCAAUAUGGUAUCAAGCCCUAAUCAAUGAAUAAACUUCAUCUUCUCAUUCGAUCCUCAUCUUGCAAUUGAAGUUUUCUUUAAUUUUUUUCAAAGUUUCUCUCUUCUUCAUCAUUUUUUCUUGAUGAUUUCUAUUAUUUGUUGUUUCUGCACCCAUAUUGUUGGUGUUCACUCAGUUUUUCUUUCAUCAUCUGACUCAAAGUUUCGCAUCUGAUUUUGUUGAUUUUCAUCAUCUUCCUCAUCGAUCCAACAUGCCUCCGCGUAUAGCACCAAAUUCCAAGCUUGAUCUUGAUUCGAUUUACUAUAUCCAUCUGACUGAAUGUCCCAAUUCAGUCACCAUUACUCCAAAGCUCGAUGGAUCUAACUACCUCACUUGGAACAGAUCCAUGCAACGUGCACUGGGAGCUAAGAACAAGUUGAAGUUCAUUGAUGGAUCCACUAAAACUCUAGAUGAAGAUCACCUCAGUUUUGAUCAGUGGCAACUAUGCAAUCAUCUCAUCCUUUCAUGGAUCAUCAAUUAGUUGAUCAAUGUACAUUGCAGUAAAUGAAUACAAUGAGGAUGAUUGGGUUUGAUAGCCAAGAGAAUGGAUUCUAUAUUUUGCAAGUAAUGGACACUCAUUCUAAAGAUUCCAGUCCCUUUCACCAAGCUCAUCACCAACUCAAGUCCUCACCAUAAACCAAAUCAUUUCAUUCCAGUAAUACUUUUUCUCCACCACAUGUCCAAAAUAUUGUAAUUCCCAAGUCAGCCUUGUGGCACUUUAGGCUAUGACUUGUAUCUUCUAAGAGAAUAGCUCAAAUGUCUAAAAUGUAAUCUUCAUUUGAUUUUGAUAAUAAUGCCACAUGUGAUAUUUGUCAUUUGGAAAAGCAAAGAAAUUUGUCUUAUCAUUCAA